Biomphalaria glabrata is the source of this 2919-nucleotide long non-coding RNA. RefSeq lists it as uncharacterized. The transcript is spliced from 7 exons. NCBI's taxonomy places the organism in Eukaryota, Metazoa, Mollusca, Gastropoda, Planorbidae. The record is from RefSeq and is a predicted model, not a curated record.
GAAGUGUUAUUCUGUUGUUGAGUCAAUGAAUGAAUGAUGCAUCCGACAGUGACGGGUAAUAUAAAAUAAUAUAGGGUAAUAGUCCACUGUGCUAUCAGCAGCAUACGCCUUGGCUGGCUUGGCCACAUUCAUAGAAAUAAUAGAAUCAAGAAUGCCAGAGGCUAGACUGGCUGGAUGCGGCAGAGGAGUAGUUCCACAAGACAUUGUGAUUGUCACAUUCAUGACAUUCCCACUCCCAGAAUCUACAAUUAGAUCUAGAAUACUACUGUAUCUAGUCUCAGUAUCAUACUGAGAAACUUUAUUAAUCCUAUGCAUGACCCAUUUUGCACAUACCCAAUGCUUGAUGUUGCCAUUUUCUUCAGAAUUGAGAGUACAGCUUAGGUUCAAGUGACUAGUCUUAGGUCUAUCUAGCUCCUAAGAUGUCUGCGCAAAAGCUGAAAAAGACCUGGACUUACCAUGACAUUGAAAUCCCAAACGCUGCUCUGGAUGACAUAAAAAUCAAAUGAAUGCCAUUAAGAAAAAUUCAUCUAAUCUAUCUGGAUCUAUAAAUCUGCAUUUUUGUUCCAGCAUCAUUCAUCUUGACUAAUGUAGAAUAUAGUCUACAGCAGUAAAACAUUUAAUGAUGUUUUCAAAGAAACCAAAAUUGAACCAUACUUAUGACACUGCCAUAUCUGAAACAAAAGCAAUAUUCGUUGAACAUCCUGCACAAUACACAGAAAGCAAACCUUAGUUAGUCAAAAAAAUCUUAUUUAGCUAAGGAUGAGGAGAAAAGGCUUUCCAAAUGACUUGUUGAGUUCGCCAGACAUGCUAACACACUUUACCAAAUUAAAGUCAGGUACCCAUUAGAGUUUGCAAAAGUAAUAAUAAGGGCAUGUGGAUCAUCACUACACCAGAAAAUCUCAAAAUCAGGAACAAAUAUAGUUAACAACACAGUGUUUGCCAACAAUUUUAAACUAUCAUCUCAGGCUGUCUUUAAGAGCACCAAGUCUCUUGGUAAAGAAAAGGCUCUUGUUUCACCUUAGUCGGUGAAAUAAUUUUAUUGAUUCCACCAUAUUACCAAUUUCAACUGGAUUUUCAAUGUGGAUGAAAGGGGUUUUGGUUUGACACAAAAAGCCACAAGUGCUUGCAAGGUUGUUGUCUUCAUAAAGGCUAAUAUGAUUACAACACAUCAAACACUAAAAAUCUGGUCACUGUCGUAGUGUGAUGCAAAGCAUCAAGGCAUCCCUCUUUUGCAAUAUAUCCUAAUAAGAAAAUCCCAAGACAAAACAUUCUUGAAAACUUCCUUGGGACCCUUUUAGAAAUCUCAGAAACGCUACUUAUUUGUUCCCAAAACUACAAAAUUCAGUAUUGUCUCCUACCUCAAGCCACUAGACCAUCACAGGUUCCAUCAGAAAUCUCUGCAUCAUCAAUAUAACCUGAGGCCUCCAAAUGCCCAGUGCAAGAAGAGUCAUCUUUAUCUCACUCACCAAGUGCACUUUCCAGUCCUAGCAGAUUAUACAAUAUUUCAAACAGAGGCCUCUAAAUCCCAAGCACAAAAAAGCCUCUUUAUCUAACUCAACAUGUCCACACGUCUAAAUCCUCAUCUCAUUUUGUGGCCUCCACAUCUCCACAAGAGUCCUACACUUUACAGUCUUGAUCCAGCCCCUAGCCUCUAGACUCUAGAUCCACAGUGUCCCCAGAUGUUUCUACACUCUUCUCACCAUGAAUGUCACCAAUCCUUUAUAAGUCCUCAAUAUUCACCUGAAAUCAAUAUCUUCAUCCCCAUGAAAGUCUAGUUCAUUGGAAGAGCAUUCUUAUUUUGUGUUUUUGAAGAGAGGACAAAACCUGAAUGAUCAUUUUUUUUCCCCUAGACCAAAAAUCACAGAAAAUUUGAGAUUUUCUCAUUUCCUGUGCAACAGUUUGAAGUUUAAACUUGAGCCAUUGCCCAUGCAUUUAAAGAUCCAGAAAAUUCACCAUCUAAAUGUAAACAGCAGAUCACAUAUUCAAUUUCUCUUUCUUUAAAAGGGAAGAAUGGAAAGAACAAGAAUAUGAGAACUACUCCAACAUCCAAAGAAAAGUAAAUCAGUUAAGGAGGCUGAUCACUUCACCACAAACAUGUGACACUCAGGAUGUUUGUAUGACCUGAAAAGAAAUGGGCAUAGACAUUGCCUUAGUUUAGGGGAUGACAUUGAACAGUUUAGUGAAAUCUGCCUAUAGUUGGGGACCACAGACAGAUGUAACAUUUAGGUCCUUUGUGAAUUGUGUGACUCUUGGUGGCACAGUACUUGCACUUUGUCAGUAACUGACUAUUUCAAGAAAUUUGGUAGAAUAAAUUAUCCUCCUGUGCUGUUCAGCGCUUAGAGCAGCAAGCCCUCUCCGUAAGGCUGUCACUGGCAACAUCUGAAGCCUCUACAUACCUGAUGUCACUGAGGUCCUGCAUGAAAGGUUGGAACCAAUGUGAUAUUACCGGACUGGGGUGGAUCAGAUCACUGAAGGUUAGCUGUACUUCAAAGAAUUUAACAGUAUUUAUAUCAAGAACUUGACUUGUCCAUGUAGUGACUACGUUACAGAACCUACUUCAUCUCCAUUGCAAAUUGUGACUAGUUCAACAAUGUGUGUACUUGCAUGGCUGCAGGUUGGCAUUACUCUACCAUCUUUAACAGAAGUUUAAAAGGUCAACUGUCUUCUUUUGUAGUGAGUUAUAAAACGACUGCAGGUCCAUUAGUUGAAGCUGUUUCAUAAAGUUGUAUCGUUUAGUUGUUUAAAUGAUAAGUUAUAACAGUUGAAGCAGAAUUUAAGUCAUUGGUUAAUAUGCAUGACGCGUAGGACGUAAUCAUCUUCUUUUUUGAAGUAAUGUCUGUAUUAUAUAAGAUAAAAUAAGAUAACCAAUUGUUUUUUAAACUAUUAACAAACAAAUGUACAUUUAGCUCAGGAUGUUAA